Molecule: ribosomal RNA, 537 nt
Filed under: Salmonella enterica subsp. enterica
Lineage: Bacteria; Pseudomonadati; Pseudomonadota; Gammaproteobacteria; Enterobacterales; Enterobacteriaceae
Description: bacterial SSU rRNA
Rfam family: Bacterial small subunit ribosomal RNA
Source: RNAcentral
GGAUUGGUGCCUUCGGGAACUGUGAGACAGGUGCUGCAUGGCUGUCGUCAGCUCGUGUUGUGAAAUGUUGGGUUAAGUCCCGCAACGAGCGCAACCCUUAUCCUUUGUUGCCAGCGAUUAGGUCGGGAACUCAAAGGAGACUGCCAGUGAUAAACUGGAGGAAGGUGGGGAUGACGUCAAGUCAUCAUGGCCCUUACGACCAGGGCUACACACGUGCUACAAUGGCGCAUACAAAGAGAAGCGACCUCGCGAGAGCAAGCGGACCUCAUAAAGUGCGUCGUAGUCCGGAUUGGAGUCUGCAACUCGACUCCAUGAAGUCGGAAUCGCUAGUAAUCGUGGAUCAGAAUGCCACGGUGAAUACGUUCCCGGGCCUUGUACACACCGCCCGUCACACCAUGGGAGUGGGUUGCAAAAGAAGUAGGUAGCUUAACCUUCGGGAGGGCGCUUACCACUUUGUGAUUCAUGACUGGGGUGAAGUCGUAACAAGGUAACCGUAGGGGAACCUGCGGUUGGAUCACCUCCUUACCUUAAAGAAGC